GCUUCAUUGACUACAAGAAAGCCUCUGGUAUCAGCCACCUGGAGCGGCAGGUGCUGAGAUCCAGAACCGCUGCUGAGAAUGCAGAAAAAGUCGAGGAUGAGCUGAAAGCAGAGAAGAGGAAGCUACAAAGAGAGCUCUGAACAGCACUGGACAAGAUCGAGGAGAUGGAGAUGACCAACAGCCACCUGGCCAAGCGGCUGGAGAAGAUGAAGGCCAACAGGACGGCGCUGCUGGCCCAGCAGUAGGGCCCCGCCCGGCCCCAGGCCCGCCCCGAGGGGCUGCCCUUCGGCCACUGACGCAGACCCCUUUCAGGACUGUUUGAGCUUUGGCAUUCAGAUAGCCACCUUUGUAUUUUCUAAUUUAUGAGAGAAUGAAACAGGUUUGAAUCUUCAUGAAUGAACACUUUGUGUGUAGUUUGAUUCUAGACUAAGAACUAGUCCAUGCCGUUAUUUUUCAUUUCCGUAAUUUUAGAAUCAAGUUUACUCCCCAUUUUCCCCAGCCGCCUCAGUGACUGGGCCCGGCUCUGGAGGACAGCGGCUCAGCGCCCGCUGAGACACUUCCUGGAGACCUCAGAAACACAAGUGCCUUCUCCACGGUGCAGUUCAGACUCCAGUGAUCUCCAGGGGCCAAGAGACACUUACCCUUAAUAUCAGGUACCCAGUUCAAGAGGAUUUUGCCGUGGAGUGUGUAGCCAUGUUGCAGUAUUUGUGAUUCUCUGUUGUUCUCAGAAUCGAAGUGGUUUUAUGGAAAUGAUUAUUGUAUCUUCAACGUGUUUACACAAAAAAUACGGGGGAAGUCUAAUGAAUUAAGGCCACAUAAGAUAAAAUUAGACAUGAAACUAGGUAAUAAAGUUAACUUAAAUAUGAAAAAAAAAAGAAAGCCUCUGACUGUGUGGAUCACAACAAACUGCGAAAAAUUCUUAAAGAGAUGGGAAUACCAGACCACCUUAUCUGCCCCUUGGGAAACCUGUAUGCAGGUCAAGAAACAACAGUUAGAACCAGACAUGGGACAACUGACUGGUUCAAAAUUAGGAAAGGAGUACGUCAAGGCUGUAUAUUGUCACCCUGCUUCUUUAACUUAUAUGCUGAGUACAUCAUGUGAAGUGCCGGGCUGGAUGAAUCACAAGUUGGAAUCAAGAUUGCUGGGAGAAAUAUCAACAACUUUAGAUACGCAGAGGAUGCCACUCUAAUGGCAGAAAGCGAAGAGGAAUUAAAGAGGAGAAUGAAAAAACUGGCUUAAAACUCAACAUUCAAAAAACUCAGGAAACUCAAACAGGGGUUCUGUAUCAAUCUAGAGCAGUGGGAUGGGGCAGGAGAUGGGAGGGACGUUCAAAAGGGAGGGGAUAUAUGUAUGACUAUGGCUGAUUCUGGAGAAGGAAAUGGCAUCCCACUCCAGUAUUC
This is a long non-coding RNA of Bos taurus (domestic cattle), 1400 nucleotides long. Lineage: Eukaryota; Metazoa; Chordata; Mammalia; Artiodactyla; Bovidae. The record is from Ensembl.